RNAcentral lists this ribosomal RNA (528 nucleotides) under uncultured bacterium. RNAcentral describes it as "bacterial SSU rRNA". It matches the Rfam family "Bacterial small subunit ribosomal RNA", at positions 29 to 458 of the family's 1533-position model. The record is from RNAcentral.
AGUGAACGCUGGCGGCGUGCCUAACACAUGCAAGUCGAACGGGCUAGUGCUUCGCACUAGUCUCUUUCUGGGGUUGCUACUCUAAGGCUACCUGCUAAAGUUAUUGCUUUAAAGCAGGGGUUUUAGGGGACCUUCCCCAAAAGGGGCCAGUGCGGAGCACUGGCCAGUGGCGAACGGGUGAGUAACACGUGGGUAAUCUGCCCUCGAGUGGGGAAUAAGCUCCCGAAAGGGGGUCUAAUACCGCAUGACGUUUCAUAACGAUGGUUAUGAAACCAAAGCCCAAAAGGCGCUUGAGGAGGAGCCUGCGUCCUAUCAGCUUGUUGGCAGGGUAAUGGCCUACCAAGGCUAUGACGGGUAGCCGGCCUGAGAGGGUGUCCGGCCACACUGGAACUGAGACACGGUCCAGACUCCUACGGGAGGCAGCAGUGGGGAAUUUUGCGCAAUGGGGGAAACCCUGACGCAGCGACGCCGCGUGGAGGAUGACGGCCUCGGUUGUAACGUCCUCGUCAGAGGACGGAAGUACCGACG